UACCAGCACCCCGAGUGGUCGGGACGAUUAUUGGGCCUAAAGCAUCCGUAGCCGGUUUUACAAGUCCUCCGUUAAAUCCAGCUGCUUAACAGAUGGGCUGCGGAGGAUACUAUAAGACUAGGAGGCAGGAGAGGCAAGCGGUACUCAGUGGGUAGGGGUAAAAUCCGUUGAUCCGUUGAAGACCACCAGUGGCGAAGGCGGCUUGCCAGAAUGCGCUCGACGGUGAGGGAUGAAAGCUGGGGGAGCAAACCGG
RNAcentral lists this ribosomal RNA (253 nucleotides) under uncultured bacterium. Its description in RNAcentral is "partial 16S ribosomal RNA". It matches the Rfam family "Archaeal small subunit ribosomal RNA", at positions 474 to 727 of the family's 1478-position model. The record is from RNAcentral.